UACUCCUACGGGAGGCAGCAGUGGGGAAUUUUGGACAAUGGGCGAAAGCCUGAUCCAGCAAUGCCGCGUGUGUGAAGAAGGCCUUCGGGUUGUAAAGCACUUUUGUCCGGAAAGAAAUCCUUGGCUCUAAUACAGUCGGGGGAUGACGGUACCGGAAGAAUAAGCACCGGCUAACUACGUGCCAGCAGCCGCGGUAAUACGUAGGGUGCAAGCGUUAAUCGGAAUUACUGGGCGUAAAGCGUGCGCAGGCGGUUUGCUAAGACCGAUGUGAAAUCCCCGGGCUCAACCUGGGAACUGCAUUGAUGACUGGCAGGCUAGAGUAUGGCAGAGGGGGGUAGAAUUCCACGUGUAGCAGUGAAAUGCGUAGAGAUGUGGAGGAAUACCGAUGGCGAAGGCAGCCCCCUGGGCCAAUACUGACGCUCAUGCACGAAAGCGUGGGGAGCAAACAGGAUUAGAUACCCUGGUAGUCCACGCCCUAAACGAUGUCAACUAGUUGUUGGGGAUUCAUUUCCUUAGUAACGUAGCUAACGCGUGAAGUUGACCGCCUGGGGAGUACGGUCGCAAGAUUAAAACUCAAAGGAAUUGACGGC
This 590-nucleotide ribosomal RNA is filed under the name uncultured bacterium. RNAcentral's name for it is "bacterial SSU rRNA". It matches the Rfam family "Bacterial small subunit ribosomal RNA", at positions 334 to 917 of the family's 1533-position model. The record is from RNAcentral.